AUUGAACGCUGGCGGCAUGCUUUACACAUGCAAGUCGAACGGUAGAGGGGGCAACCCCUCGAGAGUGGCGAACGGGUGAGUAAUAUAUCGGAACGUGACCACUCGUGGGGGAUAACGUAGCGAAAGUUACGCUAAUACCGCAUACGAUCUAAGGAUUAAAGCGGGGGAUCGCAAGACCGCGCGCGAUUGGAGCGGCCCAUAUCAGAUUAGGUAGUUGGUGGGGUAAAGGCCCACCAAGCCAACGAUCUGUAGCUGGUCUGAGAGGACGACCAGCCACACUGGAACUGAGACACGGUCCAGACUCCUACGGGAGGCAGCAGUGGGGAAUUUUGGACAAUGGGCGAAAGCCUGAUCCAGCCAUUCCGCGUGCAGGAUGAAGGCCCUCGGGUUGUAAACUGCUUUUGUACAGAACGAAAAGGUUUCUACUAAUACUAGGAGCUCAUGACGGUACUGUAAGAAUAAGCACCGGCUAACUACGUGCCAGCCGCCGCAGUAA
This 496-nucleotide ribosomal RNA is filed under the name uncultured bacterium. Its description in RNAcentral is "partial 16S ribosomal RNA". It matches the Rfam family "Bacterial small subunit ribosomal RNA", at positions 30 to 523 of the family's 1533-position model. The record is from RNAcentral.